CCACCUUCUUCCCCACUCCCCUUCGCCGGUCCCACGUCCCUCCCGGCCACGGCCAAAUCCAAGCCCUCGCAGCCCCUCGCCCACCUCGCUACCAGUCCAGCCAAAUCCCCGUCGCCCAGCGCGCCCCGAACUCCUCCCACAACCAGCACGCUCUCCAACCGACAGCGCACCCCGCGGCCACGGCAGGUUCCGGCCACCACCACGCCUCGGCGGGGUUUCCGCCACCGGAUCUAGCCGCAAAACGACCAUCGGUGCAGCCGACACCCACCGCCCACCGCCGCCACCCCUUCCUCCCCAUCACUCCAUCUCAGAGGAGCCUCCUCGGGCGGGUCGUGAGCAGCAGCUCCUCCAUUCCCUACACAGCUUCCCCUGAAGUCAUGUCGCCCAGCGCGCCCCAAUCCCCUACAACUGCCAGCGCAUCCUGCGGCGAUGGCGGGAUCCGGUUGCCCCUGCCCCUCAGUCGUGCAGUACAGCGCUCAGAGUUCCUUAACGCGAUACCUCCGGCUCAGUGUCAUGGCCGGCGGGCACGGUCUCGUUAAGAGCAUGGUCCAGAACCGUGGCUGCGAGCUGGCCGCGACCAAGACGGAAGUCGUGGUGAGGACGGGUCUAGCCGCUGUUUCGUCCGCCCUGUUCCACCGAUGCCGGCCCUCAUGCUUGUUGAAGGCCUAGUACAGGUGAGGUGAAUACCAUUUCCAAUCUCGGUCAGAUUCAACGCACCUUCGUUUUCUUGAUUGAUUCAAACCAUGCCAUCAGAUUCAAGAAGCAUGUAUGUACUCUAGUACAUGUAGAUGUUGUUUGUUGUGUGGCUUCCAUUAAUCAUGCGAGCAGAUUUUCUUUUCCUUGCUUCAAAAUAUUAAUGCAUGCCUUCCUGCCUAGCAGCAGUCAUAUUUUUAAUGGACAUCUUUGAAGAGUUUUAGUUGUGGUGGAAGAACAACACACUAAGUGGCUAUUUAAAUCCAUUUGCGCUGCUAUUUUGUCGUUGUGGUGGACGAACAGACUGAGUUUAUUAUGCAAAAAACUAGUAUUAGUAGUAGUAGUAGUGUACCAUGUCAGUGUCCCAAAGAUUGCAGUUGCAGCAAGGAGCAGCCUAGUAGCAUGCAUCUAUUUGUGUUGUCGAAAUUUAUUCUCUCUCUCUCUCUAGGAUUGCAAUUUAAAGCUGUCCCUGCUACAUUAUCCGAGGUUGAAGUCCCUCCCCUCUCUGGUGCUCGUUGUCUGAUUCCAUCAGCUUACUUUAUUUUGCAGUUCCGGCGGCACUCCUUUCUAUCAUGCAUCCAUGGUGGGACAACACGGCCAUGCUCCUCUCCAUACGCUUGGCGUGAACCAUCGUCGCUCGGCCACCUUCCCCUUCGGGCGCGACCGGCGCAACAACAAACGACGGGUCCAUGUUCGGCUUUGGUGGCUCACGUGUCGGCCGUUGUUGUACAUCCGGUGGUCCGAUGCAGCUCAGUCCCUCGUGACAAGCAGUUCCAGCAGCGUUGUUGUGGAGGUAGUUGACUCCAGCCAUCGCACGUGUGCAGUUCGGUUGGCGUAGGCAUGUGAUUCAACUAGCGUGCAUGCAGUUCAGCUUGCACAUGUGUGCGUUUUAGCCACCUUAAAAAGCAAAUGUGUUUUGGUGUGGUACCGCGCAUGGGAGUAUCCCGUUGAGUUCGGCUAGAAUAGCAUUGUGGUUAAGAGUUUAGUUUGUCACAUUUGUAGGGCAGGGCAGUCUAAUAUUUGGGUGUGUUAAUUUGUUUAAAGAAGACAAGGGAAAGUAGGUCACUCCAAUUUGUGUAGCAACUCAUAUAUGAAGUGCAAUUUAUUUCUAUGUGUUUUAAAAACCUAGUCGACUAUAUCAACACAUGUAGUGCGUUUGGUCCUUGGAUGUGGUUCACUUUUGAGAAUGGCGAUGUUCACUUGCGCCCAACAAGAAAGUGUAAAAAAAUUAGCG
RNAcentral lists this long non-coding RNA (1927 nucleotides) under Hordeum vulgare. Its description in RNAcentral is "long non-coding RNA (HVUL_LNC009456)". The record is from RNAcentral. Lineage: Eukaryota; Viridiplantae; Streptophyta; Magnoliopsida; Poales; Poaceae.